RNAcentral lists this ribosomal RNA (474 nucleotides) under uncultured Akkermansia sp. Its description in RNAcentral is "bacterial SSU rRNA". It matches the Rfam family "Bacterial small subunit ribosomal RNA", at positions 29 to 523 of the family's 1533-position model. Lineage: Bacteria; Pseudomonadati; Verrucomicrobiota; Verrucomicrobiia; Verrucomicrobiales; Akkermansiaceae. The record is from RNAcentral.
AACGAACGCUGGCGGCGUGGAUAAGACAUGCAAGUCGAACGGGAACAUUUUGGUUUACUAGAAUGUUUUAGUGGCGCACGGGUGAGUAACGCGUGAGUAACCUGCCCAAUAGUGGGGGAUAGCCCUGGGAAACUGGGAUUAAUACCGCAUAAUAUCGCAAGAUUAAAGGAGUAAUUCGCUAUUGGAGGGGCUCGCGUCCUAUUAGUUAGUUGGUGAGGUAACGGCUCACCAAGGCGAUGACGGGUAGCCGGUCUGAGAGGAUGUCCGGCCACACUGGAACUGAGACACGGUCCAGACACCUACGGGUGGCAGCAGUCGAGAAUCAUUCACAAUGGGGGAAACCCUGAUGGUGCGACGCCGCGUGAGGGAAGAAGGUCUUCGGAUUGUAAACCUCUGUCAUGUGGGAGCAAGCAGCAAUGUUGAUAGUACCACAAGAGGAAGAGACGGCUAACUCUGUGCCAGCAGCCGCCGUAA